Molecule: non-coding RNA, 264 nt
Organism: Paramuricea clavata
Lineage: Eukaryota; Metazoa; Cnidaria; Anthozoa; Malacalcyonacea; Plexauridae
Source: the annotation of a GenBank genome assembly
CAUCAACCAUUUAUUAUGUUACAGUCAAUUUCAGCUGACUUUUCAUCGUAAGAUUCCGAACUUCGUUCCGAACUUCGCAAAUUCGUUGCCAAGUUCAAAAGUUCAUAAUGAAAUUCACAAACAGGUUUGUAAACUGGGCAUUUGAUUGGCUGGUUUGAUUUAAUAGCCAAUCAGAGGCUUUGUUUACAAACCUGCUUGUGAAUUUCAUUAUGAACUUUUGAACUUGGCAACGAAUUUGCGAAGUUCGGAACGAAGUUCGGAAUC